This 433-nucleotide ribosomal RNA is filed under the name uncultured bacterium. RNAcentral describes it as "partial 16S ribosomal RNA". It matches the Rfam family "Bacterial small subunit ribosomal RNA", at positions 29 to 507 of the family's 1533-position model. The record is from RNAcentral.
AACGAACGCUGGCGGCAUGCCUAACACAUGCAAGUCGAACGAGACCUUCGGGUCUAGUGGCGCACGGGUGCGUAACGCGUGGGAACCUGCCCUUAGGUUCGGAAUAACUCCCCGAAAGGGGUGCUAAUACCGGAUAAUGUCUUCGGACCAAAGAUUUAUCGCCUUUGGAUGGGCCCGGGUUGGAUUAGCUAGUUGGUAGGGUAAAAGCCUACCAAGGCGACGAUCCAUAGCUGGUCUGAGAGGAUGAUCAGCCACACUGGGACUGAGACACGGCCCAGACUCCUACGGGAGGCAGCAGUGGGGAAUAUUGGACAAUGGGCGAAGGCCUGAUCCAGCAAUGCCGCGUGAGUGAUGAAGGCCUUAGGGUUGUAAAGCUCUUUUACCCGGGAUGAUAAUGACAGUACCGGGAGAAUAAGCACCGGCUAACUCCGUG